RNAcentral lists this ribosomal RNA (253 nucleotides) under uncultured bacterium. RNAcentral's name for it is "partial 16S ribosomal RNA". It matches the Rfam family "Bacterial small subunit ribosomal RNA", at positions 524 to 776 of the family's 1533-position model. The record is from RNAcentral.
UACAGAGGUCUCGAGCGUUAGGCGGAAUCACUGGGCUUAAAGCGUGUGUAGGCGGCUCGGUAAGUACCUUGUGAAAUCCCACAGCUCAACUGUGGAACUGCUUGGUAUACUGCCAGUCUUGAGCCAGCUAGGGGCUACCGGAACAAAUGGUGGAGCGGUGAAAUGCGUAGAUAUCAUUUGGAACGCCAAUGGUGAAAACAGGUAGCUGGGGCUGUGCUGACGCUGAGACACGAAAGCCAGGGGAGCAAACGGG